Molecule: ribosomal RNA, 384 nt
Filed under: uncultured bacterium
Lineage: Bacteria
Description: bacterial SSU rRNA
Rfam family: Bacterial small subunit ribosomal RNA
Source: RNAcentral
GACGAACGCUGGCGGCGUGCUUAACACAUGCAAGUCGAGCGGUAAGGCCCUUCGGGGUACACGAGCGGCGAACGGGUGAGUAACACGUGGGUGACCUGCCUCUAGCUCUGGGAUAAGCCUGGGAAACUGGGUCUAAUACCGGAUAUGACUCCACGGCGCAUGUUGUGGGGUGGAAAGCCUUGUGUGGCUAGAGAUGGGCCCGCGGCCUAUCAGCUUGUUGGUGGGGUGAUGGCCUACCAAGGCGACGACGGGUAGCCGGCCUGAGAGGCGACCGGCCACACUGGGACUGAGACACGGCCCAGACUCCUACGGGAGGCAGCAGUGGGGAAUCUUGCGCAAUGGGCGAAAGCCUGACGCAGCGACGCCGCGUGAGGGAUGACGGCC